Peromyscus eremicus (cactus mouse) is the source of this 104-nucleotide small nuclear RNA. NCBI's taxonomy places the organism in Eukaryota, Metazoa, Chordata, Mammalia, Rodentia, Cricetidae. The record is from RefSeq and is a predicted model, not a curated record.
GUGCUUGCUUCUGCAGCACAUACACUAAAGUUGGAAUGAUAAAGAGAUUAGCACAGCCCCUGAACAAGGAUGAAACGCAAAUUCAUGAAGCAUCCCACAUAUAU